GAUGAACGCUGGCGGCGUGCCUAAUAUAUGCAAGUCGAGCGAACAGACGAGGAGCUUGCUCCUCUGACGUUAGCGGCGGACGGGUGAGUAACACGUGGAUAACCUACCUAUAAGACUGGGAUAACUUCGGGAAACCGGAGCUAAUACCGGAUAAUAUAUUGAACCGCAUGGUUCAAUAGUGAAAGACGGUUUUGCUGUCACUUAUAGAUGGAUCCGCGCCGCAUUAGCUAGUUGGUAAGGUAACGGCUUACCAAGGCAACGAUGCGUAGCCGACCUGAGAGGGUGAUCGGCCGCACUGGAACUGAGACACGGUCCAGACUCCUACGGGAGGCAGCAGUAGGGAAUCUUCCGCAAUGGGCGAAAGCCUGACGGAGCAACGCCGCGUGAGUGAUGAAGGUCUUCGGAUCGUAAAACUCUGUUAUGAGGGAAGAACAAAUGUGUAAGUAACUAUGCACGUCUGGACGGUACCUAAUCAGAAAGCCACGGCGAACUACGU
This 496-nucleotide ribosomal RNA is filed under the name uncultured bacterium. RNAcentral describes it as "partial 16S ribosomal RNA". It matches the Rfam family "Bacterial small subunit ribosomal RNA", at positions 28 to 506 of the family's 1533-position model. The record is from RNAcentral.